GUUAACUUUUCUGACAUGCAGGGAUCGAAAUUAAUGGAAGGAAUGCCAAGUUGAAACAGCAAGCAGAAGUGAGAGUUGAUAUUUUAUUUUCCCAUUUAUAAAUCAUUUCUCGCACUGCAUGCACUGGAAUUCAGUCGUAAAUUCUUGCGUUCUCAAGGUCGUUGAGUGAACUGUUUAUGCAGAAAUCUGAAGGCACUGGACAUGGUAUUGAGCCAAGAAAUUCAUCCAAGUUUAUCACCAAUUCUCAUGGCUCUGAGAGUACCGAUGUAUAUCAUUCACCUGAAUUUACAUAUGGUAAUGUUCAUCUAUAACCAAAAUCAAGCCAUUUAUAGAUGUUAUUAGGAGGGCGUGCAGAUACAGUCUAGUCUCACUUUCGCUCCACAAGGAUCAAGAUCAAAUUAAUGCGCAUUCGCGUUCUGUCAAGCGAAGAUAUACUUCCAACCUCUUAGAAACUAAUGNUUUUGACAAUUAUAACAUUUAAUUUGAGAUUUGUCAUACCUUGGUCCUUCAUUUUUCCUCGUACCUUUUUCUCUUCCGCGACCUCUAGUAGAAAACGAACUUUGUCUUCUUUCCUCCUUGUAGAAUGCAAUUCUUCCUCGAUCUUGGCCUCGUCCUCGUCCUCUUCCACUUUGGCUUCUUCUACUAUUGAACCUUCCUUCACCCUCGUUCAAAGUAAGUUUUGUUUGAAGAGUUUGCUCUAAUGGCUCUUCUUUCACUUUCUUCCUUAGUCUUUCCUCAUGAGCUUGUAAAGAUCCCAUGAGUUGAUCGACACUCAUACUAUUUAGAUCUUUAGAUUCCUCAAUGGCUACAACUAUGUAGUCAAAUUUAGAAUCUAAAGACCUAAGUAUCUUCUCAAUUACUCGAGUGUCGUGAAAAAAGGAAACUUGUAUUUCUCAAAUUCAAGACUUUACACACUUUUUGACUUAUUACAAAAUGGAGGGCACUACCCCUUUAUAUAGUGUUUACAAGAAGAUUCUAGUCCACGCAUUUUCUAGAGACACCUGGACCACAUAUCAAGAUAUUUUCCUAGAAUUCUCUAUAUAUUCUUUAUAAAACUACAUAUCUUACUUAGAUAUUUAUAUAGAUUUUUCUAGUAGAUAUUUAUAUAGAUUUUUCUAGAUAAUGCUUCUAGAAAUGCUAUGCAUGUUGGGCAUUUUAAUUGAUUUGGGCCUAUAAGCAAAAUCCUUAAGCUCAUAUUGUUUGAUCCAAAAAUCAAGUUUACUACUCAACAAUUAGUUAACUUUUUUGACAUGCAGGGAUCGAAAUUAAUGGAAGGAAUGCCAAGUUGAAACAGCAAGCAGAAGUGAGAGUUGAUAUUUUAUUUUCCAAUUUAUAAAUCAUUUCUCGCACUGCAUGCACUGGAAUUCAGUCGUAAAUUCUUGCGUUCUCAAGGUCGUUGAGUGAACUGUUUACGCAGAAAUCUGAAGGCACUGGACAUGGUAUUGAGCCAAGAAAUUCAUCCAAGUUUAUCACCAAUUCUCAUGGCUCUGAUAGUACCGAUGUAUAUCAUUCACCUGUCACCUGAAUUUACAUAUGGUAAUGUUCAUCUAUUACCAAAAUCAAGUCAUUUAUAGAUAUUAUUAGGAGGGCGUGCAGAUGCAGUCUAGUCUUACUUUCGUUCCACAAGGAUCAAGAUCAAAUAAAUGCGCAUUCGCGUUCUGUCAAGCGAAGAUAUACUUCUAACCUCUUAGAAACUAAUGAUCCGGAGAGACAAAAACUCUUUAGUUCGUAUUUUUAUGGUAAAAAAAUAAAAAUAAAUAGAUAGGAUUUCUGAUUAUUCAGACGUUAACCGAAAUGUUCAUUAGAUUCAUCUAACCUAAUUCAAAGUUACACUGAAAAGCAUGGUAGUAGUAGGGUGUAGUCUCAUAUCUUUUUGACUGUAUGCUUAUGUUAAUUUUGGCAACUUACCUUUCUCCUACUGAAAUUGUCUAUUUUUCUCAAUAGGAUGUAUUAUAAAUUCUUUUGCAAGGGAGUUGAGUGUUAAGGGCCAAUUAAUGUUGUGGAUUUACGUGACUUCUGACAUUUGCUUUCCGUUUGAAUUUGCUAUUGAUAUCAUACGUAUCCAAGGAAAUUAUAUGAGGUACAUAAAAGUAGAAUUUUGUUUACUUGGCAUGAAAUUGAAGACGAUAAUGUGCUAGUUUUUGAGCAGUGGUGAACUCAAAUUUUAGUACGUUCAGUUGGGUGAUUUUAAAAAAAUAAGAAAUAAAAAA
This 2210-nucleotide long non-coding RNA is filed under the name Olea europaea subsp. europaea. The record is from RNAcentral. Lineage: Eukaryota; Viridiplantae; Streptophyta; Magnoliopsida; Lamiales; Oleaceae.